RNAcentral lists this ribosomal RNA (980 nucleotides) under uncultured cyanobacterium. RNAcentral describes it as "bacterial SSU rRNA". It matches the Rfam family "Bacterial small subunit ribosomal RNA", at positions 356 to 1350 of the family's 1533-position model. Lineage: Bacteria; Bacillati; Cyanobacteriota. The record is from RNAcentral.
GGGGAAUUUUCCGCAAUGGGCGAAAGCCUGACGGAGCAAUACCGCGUGAGGGAGGAAGGCUCUAGGGUUGUAAACCUCUUUUCUCAGGGAAGAACAAAAUGACGGUACCUGAGGAAUAAGCAUCGGCUAACUCCGUGCCAGCAGCCGCGGUAAUACGGAGGAUGCAAGCGUUAUCCGGAUUUAUUGGGCGUAAAGCGUCCGCAGGUGGCAGUUCAAGUCUGCUGUCAAAGGUCGGGGCUCAACCCCGAACAGGCAGUGGAAACUGAACAGCUAGAGUACGGUAGGGGCAGAGGGAAUUCCCAGUGUAGCGGUGAAAUGCGUAGAGAUUGGGAAGAACACCGGUGGCGAAAGCGCUCUGCUAGGCCGAAACUGACACUCAUGGACGAAAGCUAGGGGAGCGAAUGGGAUUAGAUACCCCAGUAGUCCUAGCCGUAAACGAUGGAUACUAGGCGUUGUGAGUAUCGACCCUCACAGUGUCGUAGCUAACGCGUUAAGUAUCCCGCCUGGGGAGUACGCGCGCAAGCGUGAAACUCAAAGGAAUUGACGGGGGCCCGCACAAGCGGUGGAGUAUGUGGUUUAAUUCGAUGCAACGCGAAGAACCUUACCAGGGCUUGACAUGUCGCGAAUUUCAGGGAAACUUGAGAGUGCCUUCGGGAGCGCGAACACAGGUGGUGCAUGGCUGUCGUCAGCUCGUGUCGUGAGAUGUUGGGUUAAGUCCCGCAACGAGCGCAACCCUCGUUUUUAGUUGCCAGCAUUAAGUUGGGCACUCUAGAGAGACUGCCGGUGACAAACCGGAGGAAGGUGGGGAUGACGUCAAGUCAGCAUGCCCCUUACGUCCUGGGCUACACACGUACUACAAUGCWUACGGACAAAGGGCAGCAAGUUAGCGAUGACAAGCAAAUCCCAUAAACCGUGGCUCAGUUCAGAUUGCAGGCUGCAACUCGCCUGCAUGAAGGUGGAAUCGCUAGUAAUUGCAGGUC